ACUGUGAAUAAUUCUGGGGUAUAAUAGGAAGAAUUGAGGCUGCUGAAGACAGCAAAACCUCUUGUGAAUGCAGCUCUGAAUGUUCCAUGCCAUCAGGGGGCACUCGUGGUCCCAAUGGUCAUGGGUUUUCUAGAAGAUUCAGGCAAUACACUUGAAGAAUUGCAGUUACUGAUUGCUGGAGAACUUGGACUAAGGAGUCUGAAAAAGCAACACUUGAUUACAGAUGACAUCAUCAAGUUAUGGGAGAG
This is a non-coding RNA of Chrysemys picta bellii (western painted turtle), 248 nucleotides long. NCBI's taxonomy places the organism in Eukaryota, Metazoa, Chordata, Testudines, Emydidae. The record is from RefSeq and is a predicted model, not a curated record.